GUGGGGAAUCUUAGACAAUGGGCGCAAGCCUGAUCUAGCCAUGCCGCGUGAGCGAUGAAGGCCUUAGGGUUGUAAAGCUCUUUCAGCUGGGAAGAUAAUGACGGUACCAGCAGAAGAAGCCCCGGCUAACUCCGUGCCAGCAGCCGCGGUAAUACGGAGGGGGCUAGCGUUGUUCGGAAUUACUGGGCGUAAAGCGCACGUAGGCGGAUCAGAAAGUCAGAGGUGAAAUCCCAGGGCUCAACCUUGGAACUGCCUUUGAAACUCCUGAUCUUGAGGUCGAGAGAGGUGAGUGGAAUUCCGAGUGUAGAGGUGAAAUUCGUAGAUAUUCGGAGGAACACCAGUGGCGAAGGCGGCUCACUGGCUCGAUACUGACGCUGAGGUGCGAAAGCGUGGGGAGCAAACAGGAUUAGAUACCCCGGUAGUCC
Molecule: ribosomal RNA, 425 nt
Filed under: uncultured bacterium
Lineage: Bacteria
Description: partial 16S ribosomal RNA
Rfam family: Bacterial small subunit ribosomal RNA
Source: RNAcentral